RNAcentral lists this ribosomal RNA (497 nucleotides) under uncultured bacterium. Its description in RNAcentral is "partial 16S ribosomal RNA". It matches the Rfam family "Bacterial small subunit ribosomal RNA", at positions 28 to 507 of the family's 1533-position model. The record is from RNAcentral.
GAUGAACGCUGGCGGCGUGCCUAAUACAUGCAAGUCGAGCGAACGGGCGAGAAGCUUGCUUUUCUGAUGUUAGCGGCGGACGGGUGAGUAACACGUGGAUAACCUACCUAUAAGACUGGGAUAACUUCGGGAAACCGGAGCUAAUACCGGAUAAUAUUUUGAACCGCAUGGUUCAAAAGUGAAAGACGGUCUUGCUGUCACUUAUAGAUGGAUCCGCGCUGCAUUAGCUAGUUGGUAAGGUAACGGCUUACCAAGGCAACGAUGCAUAGCCGACCUGAGAGGGAGAUCGGCCACACUGGAACUGAGACACGGUCCAGACUCCUACGGGAGGCAGCAGUAGGGAAUCUUACGCAAUGGGCGAAAGCCUGACGGAGCAACGCCGCGUGAGUGAUGAAGGUCUUCGGAUCGUAAAACUCUGUUAUUAGGGAAGAACAUAUGUGUAAGUAACUGUGCACAUCUUGACGGUACCUAAUCAGAAAGCCACGGCUAACUACGUG